GACGAACGCUGGCGGCGUGCCUAAUACAUGCAAGUAGAACGCUGAAGCGAGGAGCUUCCUCUUCUUGGAUGAGUUGCGAACGGGUGAGUAACGCGUAGGUAACCUGCCUUGUAGCGGGGGAUAACUAUUGGAGACGAUAGCUAAUACCGCAUAACAAUGGAUGACACAUGUCAUUUAUUUGAAAGGGGCAAUUGCUCCACUACAAGAUGGACCUGCGUUGUAUUAGCUAGUAGGUGAGGUAAUGGCUCACCUAGGCGACGAUACAUAGCCGACCUGAGAGGGUGAUCGGCCACACUGGGACUGAGACACGGCCCAGACUCCUACGGGAGGCAGCAGUAGGGAAUCUUCGGCAAUGGGGGCAACCCUGACCGAGCAACGCCGCGUGAGUGAAGAAGGUUUUCGGAUCGUAAAGCUCUGUUGUAAGUCAAGAACGGGUGUGAGAGUGGAAAGUUCACACUGUGACGGUAGCUUACCAGAAAGGGACGGCUAACUACGUG
This 497-nucleotide ribosomal RNA is filed under the name uncultured bacterium. RNAcentral describes it as "partial 16S ribosomal RNA". It matches the Rfam family "Bacterial small subunit ribosomal RNA", at positions 28 to 507 of the family's 1533-position model. The record is from RNAcentral.